CAACUCAACUAAGCCUUUAUUCUAAAAAUUUAUUGGAAUCGGCUAUGAGCAAAUUGGUUCUCAAUUAAUAUUAAUACAUAUCAAUUAUGAGUGACCACGAUGGACUAAUCCCGAAAACAAAACACCAUCAAAUGAAAGCUCUUCCACAAUGUUUUCAAUAAAAAAUAUUGUAUAGCAUACAAAUACCUUUUUAUCUUCUUUUGCUUG
Molecule: unclassified non-coding RNA, 207 nt
Filed under: Hevea brasiliensis (rubber tree)
Lineage: Eukaryota; Viridiplantae; Streptophyta; Magnoliopsida; Malpighiales; Euphorbiaceae
Source: RNAcentral